This 342-nucleotide ribosomal RNA is filed under the name Triticum aestivum (bread wheat). RNAcentral's name for it is "partial small subunit ribosomal RNA". The record is from RNAcentral. Lineage: Eukaryota; Viridiplantae; Streptophyta; Magnoliopsida; Poales; Poaceae.
AUGUGCGGCAACCAUGAAGAGUCACUGUUUCACUCUCUGGUUACAUGCGAUCAUGCAAAACUAUUUUGGAGGGAGGCAGAAGAUUUCUUUGAGCUCAAGUUACCAUGGCUCCACCCAGCCACGUGGUCCAGGGACUUGCUCGAUUCUAGCUUGAUUGGAAGGGACAGGGCGACCAUUGUUAUAUCAGUCAUGUGGACAAUUUGGUCAAGCAGGAAUAAAUACACUCAUGAGGAGAUCAAAUACCAACCCGGAAGGUCGAUGGUCCUGGUUAAGGAACUCAUUCAGGCUUUGUACAUCCCUUCGGAUGCUGGUGAGAAGAGAGGUCUUCCGAAAGAGAGAUAG